Molecule: ribosomal RNA, 227 nt
Filed under: uncultured Vexilliferidae
Lineage: Eukaryota; Discosea; Flabellinia; Dactylopodida; Vexilliferidae
Description: partial Bacterial large subunit ribosomal RNA
Rfam family: Bacterial large subunit ribosomal RNA
Source: RNAcentral
GUUACCCGCAGUGGGACGAAAAGCCCCCGUGCACCUUUACUAUAGCUUAGUAUUGACUUUGGACAAGUGAUGUGUAGGAUAGGUGGGAGACAUUGAAGCAGCGUCGCCAGGCGUUGUGGAGUCAUUGUUGAAAUACCACCCUUUACUUGUUUGAAGCCUAACUUCUAAAAGAAGGACAGUGCUUGGUGGGUAGUUUGACUGGGCUGGUCGCCUCCAAAAGAGUAACG